GGCCCUCUCAAAUGUACCUGAUGUGUGAGCUGAGACAGCAGGCUGCAUGUUUCUGGUAGUCAGUGACUUGGACAUGGAGAAAGGGCCCAGCCCCCGAAUGACAGAAGCAAACAGCAGAGAUCAGGGACAAGUGGUAAAAAGUCUGAAUAUAGAAUCAGAGUGGGGCAUGCGCAGCGAGCUAGAGAAACGCCUGCAGAUUGCUGGAUGACGUUGGGCUGUGAUUGCCUUCAUGGUGCAGGUAUGGGAACUGUUUACAUUGGGGGAAUGGGACAUAAUGGCCAGGAGGAACACUAUUCUCUGGGUGUGACUAAAUUCAUUUUUCACUGGAAGGGAUUUGAGUAAUGUAUGGAUAAGCAUUAAAGGUAGAGAAAGUCCAGAGUUGUCUAAAAUUUCUUCCCCAGACCUUCCUGUAGGUUUACUUCCUCAGUCCAUGGGACAGGUUGGGCAUACAUCUUUGUUCAGUCCAGAAGCAGAAUGUGACUGAGCUCUGCUGUGGGGUGGCUAGGGAUCAUCUCGGCUUUAUCCAUACAUCCUGGACACUGUGCGCACUAGUGUUUCCUAAGUGGUUGACUUUAUGUCCCUAUAAAGCAACAACUGGUAUUUUUUUAAAAAGAGACAUUCAAGUGAUGUACUUCUCUGACAUAUUAAGGAAAAUAAGGUACCUGUGAUGUGAGAAACAAAGCAGAUGGAUAGGUCAAUAAAAUUCAAUAUCCUUAUCACCUGCAGCCCAAUGACAAAUACUCAAGGCAGUCAGAGUAUAACAUUCCUCCAGGAAGCUCCCAAUUGUCUUACUGUUAAUGCCUUGCUACCAGGAAGGACAACCUUAGCGUGACAAUAGCAAGGACCCCUUAUCCUAUGAGUCUUUAGCACAUGAAAGUCUUUUCAGAACUUCCCUUUGUCUUUCCUUAACCCUGACCCCAAAGUUUAUCAUCAGUUGCCAAUCCAUGGCCAGCAUCUCUUUCUGCCCAUGGGUCCUGCCCUCGUGCUUUAAUACAACCAACCACCUUUUUGUACCAAAGAUUUCUCAAGAGUUCUUUUUUGGCCUUUGGCUCUGGACCUCAACAGCACUACUCUAAGAAAACACAUCACAUGUAAUUAAAAAAAAAAAAAAAAUAAAUUCCAGGACCCUCUGAUAAUCCCGAAAAGGCAAUACAAGUAAUAGACACUGAAAGAGAAAGAGAAGCUAGGAUCUAAGAAUUUGAGAAAUCACCAAGAGCAGAUUACUAGGGAAACAUUUUCAUACAGGCAUUUUUCAUGCUAAGUCAAAGAGGAAAAAAAAUAUUUCCUUGCCAUACUUUUAGGAUCUCUCUCCAGAAUGUUUUUGCUACUUCCUGAAUGUUGUGCCCAAGACUGCGAAUCCGAGAAACCACCAAGGAGCCGACACUGAUGCAAGCGCAGGAGGGUUUAUUAGCAAGCUCGAGCUUCGGUCCAAGUAUACCCCACACAGCAGAGCAGGGACUUGGACCUCGAAGUGGAUUACAGCUGGGUUUUUUAUAGGCUGGUCUAGGGAACCUCCAGAAGGGGUGGAGGAAUUUCUCAAGUUCUGUUUACAUUCUGAUAUGGGGCUUUCAAGGGAAUUGAGCUCUGUUCUCAUUCUAAUAUGGGACUUUCUACCACUGGCAGGGGCGUGGCUCUGGCUUUCUGAUAUGGGAUUCUCUGCCUAGGGCAAUUCUGAGCUCUGUUGUCUUUCUGAUAUGGGAUUCCCUGCCAAGGACAUUGAGGACAUUCUGCAGUUUUUCCUGUAAAGUUCAGCUCUUAUUCACAGGGGCCUAAAAUGGCUGUACUUGUGCUAAUGCUAAACUUUAGGUGGGAUGGCCUUAAUUUUUCUCGGCCUCCACACUGAACUCUUUCUGAAAACCUUGUAAGAUGUAUUAGUCCUAAAUUCUUCAGGCGCACCAAAGUUGUUGGGUUUUUUCCCUCCUUCUGUUAAAAAAAUAUCUAUUACUACAUUUUCACAAUCAAGCAAUACUGGAGACAAAAGACAGUAAGUAAACUAGAGAAUAUAAUGACAUGUCUUCCUCAAGUUGUCUGCCUACAACUUUCAAGCAGUUUGAAGCAUUUACUCUUAGAGACCAAAACUUGGAAGAUAUCUAAAACUCAUACAUGAAGGCCAAAGGCAACUAUCGAUACCAUCCAGGUCUGGAGCACUCUUACAACUUCAUCCACCUAUAGGCUUGCAUGCACAACCAGAAAGAUCAACACAUUUCCAGGCAGUAUUAUGUUGUAUGCACCGAAGCACUUGUGUUCCAUCGUCUUGCAUUUUGGGCAAUGCAAAUAUAAAGUCCUAAGGUCAAGGAAAGAAGUGUUAAAAUGGAACAGGGCUACCUUUCUUAGAGGAUACAGGCUGAACAAUUGCCUUGCUAAACUAAACUGGUUCUCUCUGAAAAAGAUUCUAUUAGUCCUUCCCCUGCCUGAGUUUUCAUUUCACACUAUGCUGAGAAACCAGAGGGAAAAGCCAAAAGGAACUUAGGGGGAUAUUGUGCCCCUGCUCGGAAUGUCCACUGGCAAAUCUUUUCUCUGCCUCUCCUUAUUGCAAAUCACACUUCAUGGCC
RNAcentral lists this long non-coding RNA (2552 nucleotides) under Canis lupus familiaris (dog). RNAcentral describes it as "lncRNA (ENSCAFG00845002620.1)". Lineage: Eukaryota; Metazoa; Chordata; Mammalia; Carnivora; Canidae. The record is from RNAcentral.